GACGGGGGGGGCAAGUGUUCUUCGGAAUGACUGGGCGUAAAGGGCGCGUAGGCGGCCUGGCAAGUGGAAGGUGAAAUCCCUCGGCUUAACCGAGGAACUGCCCUCCAAACUGCUUGGCUUGAGUCCGGGAGAGGUGAGUGGAACUGCGAGUGUAGAGGUGAAAUUCGUAGAUAUUCGCAAGAACACCAGUGGCGAAGGCGGCUCACUGGCCCGGAACUGACGCUGAGGUGCGAAAGCGUGGGGAGCAAACAGG
Molecule: ribosomal RNA, 253 nt
Filed under: uncultured bacterium
Lineage: Bacteria
Description: partial 16S ribosomal RNA
Rfam family: Bacterial small subunit ribosomal RNA
Source: RNAcentral